Molecule: ribosomal RNA, 468 nt
Filed under: uncultured bacterium
Lineage: Bacteria
Description: partial 16S ribosomal RNA
Rfam family: Bacterial small subunit ribosomal RNA
Source: RNAcentral
GACGAACGCUGGCGGCGUGCUUAACACAUGCAAGUCGAACGGAAAGGCCCUGCUUUUGUGGGGUGCUCGAGUGGCGAACGGGUGAGUAACACGUGAGUAACCUGCCCUUGACUUUGGGAUAACUUCAGGAAACUGGGGCUAAUACCGGAUAGGAGCUCCUGCUGCAUGGUGGGGGUUGGAACGUUUCGGCGGUUGGGGAUGGACUCGCGGCUUAUCAGCUUGUUGGUGGGGUAGUGGCUUACCAAGGCUUUGACGGGUAGCCGGCCUGAGAGGGUGACCGGCCACAUUGGGACUGAGAUACGGCCCAGACUCCUACGUGAGGCAGCAGUGGGGAAUAUUGCACAAUGGGCGGAAGCCUGAUGCAGAAACGCCGCGUGCGGGAUGACGGCCUUCGGGUUGUAAACCGCUUUCGCCUGUGACGAAGCGUGAGUGACGGUAAUGGGUAAAGAAGCACCGGCUAACUACGUG